UACGGGGGGGCAAGCGUUGUCCGGAAUUACUGGGCGUAAAGCGCACGCAGGCGGUCUUUUAAGUUUGACGUGAAAGCUCCCGGCUUAACUGGGAGAGGUCGUUGAAGACUGGGAGACUUGAGGCAAUGAGAGGGGUGUAGAAUUCCUGGUGUAGUGGUGGAAUGCGUAGAUAUCAGGAGGUAUACCAGUGGCGAAAGCGGCACCCUAGCGUUGUUCUGACGCUCAUGUGCGAAAGCGUGGGGAGCGAACGGG
This 252-nucleotide ribosomal RNA is filed under the name uncultured bacterium. RNAcentral describes it as "partial 16S ribosomal RNA". It matches the Rfam family "Bacterial small subunit ribosomal RNA", at positions 524 to 776 of the family's 1533-position model. The record is from RNAcentral.